AUUGAACGCUGGCGGCAUGCCUUACACAUGCAAGUCGAGCGGCAGCGCGGGGCAACCUGGCGGCGAGCGGCGAACGGGUGAGUAAUACAUCGGAACGUACCCAGUUGUGGGGGGAUAGCCCGGCGAAAGCCGGAUUAAUACCGCAUACGACCUGAGGGUGAAAGGGGGGGAUCGCAAGACCUCUCGCAGUUGGAGCGGCCGAUGGCGGAUUAGCUAGUUGGUGAGGUAAAGGCUCACCAAGGCGACGAUCCGUAGCUGGUCUGAGAGGAUGAUCCGCCACACUGGGACUGAGACACGGCCCAGACUCCUACGGGAGGCAGCAGUGGGGAAUUUUGGACAAUGGGCGAAAGCCUGAUCCAGCCAUGCCGCGUGAGUGAAGAAGGCCUCGGUUGUU
Molecule: ribosomal RNA, 394 nt
Filed under: uncultured bacterium
Lineage: Bacteria
Description: bacterial SSU rRNA
Rfam family: Bacterial small subunit ribosomal RNA
Source: RNAcentral